This 744-nucleotide unclassified non-coding RNA is filed under the name Drosophila ananassae. RNAcentral's name for it is "GF23061". The record is from RNAcentral. Lineage: Eukaryota; Metazoa; Arthropoda; Insecta; Diptera; Drosophilidae.
GUCUAAAAUAAUAAUAAACAUUAAAUGCCAGAUUGUAUGCAACCCUUGGCCUGAACGAGAGGCAGACUCUGAAGGCGGCCCAUGCCAUAUCCAACUGGAUGGGCAUCAUGCUGAAGUCCCAAAUCUCGCUGACCCGCACUACACCCGCCUACAAGCUGUUGCCCCGCCAGUGCCCCGGAUCCUACUGCAUCUUCUACCGCAUCUACAUAUGUGGACAGGCCCCAGGUGCACACUCUGGGCGAGGGCCACAAGCACGGGCAGCUCAACACGAUUGUGGGCUCGCUGGUGAUGUCGGUGGCCUAUCGAACCAAACUCACGAUUUCGCCAAUGACCGCCCAGGCGAAAAGCAAUUCCAGGUCAUGUCACGUUUCAAAGUUUCCAUUGAUGAGCUACCGGGGAAGAACGUUCAGAACCUGGAGAACCUGGUGACCAAAGGAGAGCGGGUGCAAAUCAAUCGAGUUCCUUGAGCACCAUGCUCGAGUUUAACAUGGUCAAUGGACAGCCCUUCUGCGAAGACAGGCGGAAAAUAAUCUCCUACUUAAGUGUGGAUAUACCCAAGUACUCAAGUACUUUGUUUCCGGAAAACAUAGGUGGAAAGGCGAUGGUAUUCGCAGUGGAGCAACGCCAACGCCUCCAUCGGUGGGAUCCACUUGUCCGUUGAUUUUACUUCUUUUGGACACACAACUAAAUCACAAUGUGUAAAAUCACUAACCAUACAACAUAUAGACUUCUCAUUUCAUACAA